This is a long non-coding RNA of Ictalurus furcatus (blue catfish), 1341 nucleotides long. RefSeq lists it as uncharacterized. The record is from RefSeq and is a predicted model, not a curated record. Lineage: Eukaryota; Metazoa; Chordata; Actinopteri; Siluriformes; Ictaluridae. The transcript is spliced from 4 exons.
CCCAGGCUGUGAUUCAGGACGCGACCGGGUGGAGAGGAAAAGAAGAUAAAACGGUCACAAUAAAUCAUUAAAAUAUCGACAGAGUAGACGUGCGAUCAAUAACAAGUGCUUUUAGAUAUACUUGGAAGACCAUCCCUGUUGCCAUGGCAACUUCAAACGCAACAGAUGCUCUAAGGAGGGAAGGUUUGUUUUCUCUUCAGGGUGUUUGACGUCCUCGUUGUGAUUUGGGACGCAGCCGGCUGGUCAAAUGACCUUUAAUUAAGACCAGCGUUAAAAGGGAAAACGAACCGAUGUUUAGAAAAGUCAAGAUGUCUGGACAUGAAGUCUCCUUAUCAUGCUGCCUACAGAGGGAACGGAUCUCAGUGGAGAAGCAGAGGUAAACUCAGUGCUGCAGACACCACAUCCACCUGACGUAAAACAGGACGUCUGAGCGUUUCUGUCCCUCAGAGGCCGAGAUCUCGCUCUCCUCAUGCUGUACCAGUGACGUGCGGUGAGGUUCGUGGCUGGGGAGGCACUGACUCUUUCAAAGUCAGAGUUACAAAUAUAUGAAUUCAACAGAGUAGCAUAAAUUCACCAUUCAACUGGCUGCUUGCACACUGACUACUGGUUAUGUUUCAUAUCCCAUAUCAGCAUUCUUUACACACACAUGGAGAGGCUUUAGGAGGCGAUUGUUCACUCCUCGUCACAGGAACAUGCUAAAUCAUGCCGUGGGUCACGAUGAGCCACCGAAACAGAAGAGCGAGAGCCGAGAAGAGUCCAUCCUGGCGUUCCUUGGGAUCGCUUGCACCGUCCUGAAUCUCCUCGUCAUCAUAUUCGUCUACAUCUACACCUCCCUGUGAGUGAGGGACUCUCUCAGCUUACGUUGAUAGUCUGGAGACAGACUGGACUUUAGAUUGAGUCGAAAGUUAAUGUGUGUGAUGUUAUGUAUAAACUCUGAUUUGCAUUUUAGAUUGGGAUUUUUGUAGAUUUUAACAAAAAAUUAUAUUGCUAAAAAAACAACAACUAUUAAAUAUAUAAAAGUCUUUUAGAUUUUUCUAGUGCUUAACAGACAUGCUAAUAAUCAUCUGUAUAUUAUUAGAAAUCUGUUCUUGGGUGAGAAUCACAUGAAACCCGCAUCAUCACAGCGAGAGAGGAAUACAUUUACAAACUGUUCUUCCUGUAAGUGAUUAAAAGAGAACAAAUGAUAUAAUAUCUAUACUAUAUACCAAUACAUUGUUUGAUCUAAUUUAAUGUCAGCCAAGUGCCAAAUGACUAAAUGUAAAAGUUAAAAUGAUAAUAAUUUUCUUGUAUAUUUCUUGUAAAACAAGGAAAUUAUUUAUUUACAAUAAAAUAUUACCCGCA